This 1519-nucleotide long non-coding RNA is filed under the name Equus caballus (horse). Its description in RNAcentral is "lncRNA (ENSECAG00000046921.1)". The record is from RNAcentral. Lineage: Eukaryota; Metazoa; Chordata; Mammalia; Perissodactyla; Equidae.
AGGAGAGUGGAUACACCUCGCGAAGGGUGACAUUGUUCAAGGGAGAGAGGGUGUCAGUGUUGAUGUGUCGACUUCGGGAUGGUUGAUGGUUCCCGCCAGGGGUGGUGAGGUCGGCAGGAACUGAGAGUGGACUCCUUGUCCACUUCAGGCCAGUUAAGACCACGAACCCAUCAUUGGGCCAGCACGAAUGCCUGAAAGGUGACCUUUUGAUGUCAGAGGGCCGAAAACUCCACCCUCAGAUCCUGGUAACGCUGCCGUUUUGUGAACAUGUGUCCUCUGAGGAGAUGAAGAGCCGUGGAGCUUCACUGUUCCUGUGCAGAUUAUCAGUUGCCUCCCUUCUCACCUCCAGGCAUCUAUGCUCGUGCUUCAGACCACUCUGCCCAUAAAUAGCCCAUAAACAUCCCUCAUCCCCAUUUUCGGGGAGGUGGAUUUGAGACUUGUUCUGCCACCUCCUCACUUGUCUGCCUUGUGAACAAACCCUUUCUCUCGGCCGCAACCUCGUCGUCUCAGUGAUUGGCAUACUGUGUAGCAGGCAAAACGAGCCUCGUCCCGUAACACCUGCACCUUCCUCUGGGCAUGUGCAGUGACUUUCUAAAUUCCCCUGUAUGUGCAUUGCUUUUGAAUGUCCUCCUCCUUAAACAGCUGGGUCCUAAAAGAGAAAAAAGAGAAAUUAAGGGGGAAAAAAUGCACCAGCCCUUUAAGUCCCCUGGAAGUCACUUCAGCUGGAGGGGAAGGGGUUUGCAACAAGGGCUGCUCACCUCUGCGUCCGCACCUCCCCAGUCAGAAGAAGCGAUCAGUGAUCAGAACACAGAUCCCGAUAUUUGGAGGACAGAGGCCUGUUGCCCACAGCUGUGUACAAGCUGCUCCAGGAACGCUUGCACUGCCCCCUGACACGGGGUCAGGGAGUGGGGGAUGGGUAGCUGCUACUAAGCUAAGAGCUGAAAUUAACCACAAUUUACUGGCCAAGACUUCCCCUGGGAGAAGUUGCCAGCCUUUAAAAGACUCCAGACUUCCAAAGUAGUCACAUCGGACAGACCCUGCCAGUACUGUUGUUAUCUGGCUGAGCAGGAGGAUUCCUGGUGCUUCCUACGCCACCAUCUUCCCCUGAGCUGUGCGACCUCGAGACAGUCACUUAAGCCCUCUUGGUCUCUGUUGCCUUGCCUGUGAAAAUGAGGGGGUUGGACCAAGGGGUUUGAAGAUCCUUCUAAUCCUAAAAGCCUGGGAUUCUAUACCGAGGACAAUAGGAGCUCCAGUAUCAUUGGACUAUUGGGAAAAGGAGAUGAGAUGAGCCAUAAUACAUAACUAUUUGUGUUUUUUCCCUCUAUUUUGUUUCUAUUAAUAUGUUUUACUGCCCCCCCCCAAAUUCAUUAAAGAACAUCUGUGGGUUUUUAUGGCGGAGUUCCCCUUCAUUCUUUUACUAGGGAAGCUGUACCCCUCCCUACUCUCAGCCUCUGUGGCUCAGGUAGGGUUAACCUCUCUCAUGGGUUGGACCCUGAUUGGCCUGAGCCGGUCUGCACAU